AUGAAGUCCACUGUGGUGGACUAGUUCUGUUCUUUAUUCACAUAUAAGUGACUUAUCUUCAAUACUGUUUCCCUGAUCCUUAAAAUUCCUCGUGGAUUGUAGGAUCUAACAUCCUGGUCUAACCUAGCUGACCAGCUGCUAGAGUAAUGUCUGUUAAACUGUAUACUUUAAUCUUUAAACUUUGAUCUUUUGUUUGAAAUAUUGUCUCUUCUCAUAACAUUCUUAGAUGAGGAAAUUUGUUGCUAUUUGUUAUCAGCCUUCUAGUAACACACUUUCACAGAUUUGAAUCAGAGACUGGAAAACUAGCUUUACCUGAAAUGGAGAUAACAAUUCUGUGUUUCAAGAAUGCUGCUGGAAAGUUAAGUCUGUCUUUCUUACCUCUGUGGGCUGUCUGGUUAAUAAUUAAAGAACUGUAAAUUUUGGAAGCUGCUGGUGAAGUUUAACAGUAAUAUGAUUUGGAUAAUCUAAGAACUGACUUGAGUCUUAGAUUAAAGUGUAGUCUAAAGCUCAGUCUAUUUAAAGGAAUAGUUAGGAUGGGUUGCUCUAAGUUCUGCAUACCAUAACAUCAGCAAAUAGUAGCUUCAAUAAACUUAUUUCACAGAGUUCUUUGAGAAUUAAAAUAUCUGAGCUCAGAUGUCAUUUAGUUCAAGUUUGGAACAUGCUCCUCAUUGUCUAUGUCUAAAUUAGCAAUUGGAGAAAUAGUGCAGUUUUGAAGCAAAUGCUUUCCAUGUACUAUGUACGAUUGGUUCCUGACAGCAGUUUUUGUGCACUAGAUCUCACUUUUUUUUGGAGGAACUAAAGCAAACAACACUGGUCACAACUAUGUACCACAGAUAAGUUUCUUGGUCAUCUCAGUGACUAUUGGGUUUGAGAUGACUGGCAAACAAGGUUUCAUUAUGUUUUAAAAAUGAAGGAAACAUCCUUAAAAACCAGCAUCAGGGUUGGCCUGGCAGGUGGGCACCUGUUACAAAGAGCUUCCAGAAAUAUUCAAGUGGGAGCAUAGUGCUGAGCCAAUCUGGAUUUCUCAGCCUUUGAUUCUUUAUACUGAAGGAUAGGGAGGGUUAUCUCGCCUUGCUCUGGAAUUCCCCAUACCUGGGUUCAGAGAGGACUACUGGGAAAACACAUCCAGAAACAUCCCAUCAGCCCAUAGCUUACAUUAAGCAACAUGCUAUGUCAUUAUGGCCAAUUCCAGCUGCAAUGAUUAUUAUUCACUCCAGCAAACGUGGCCAUUAAAUGCAAGGAUUUGGGAGGCCUGAGAGCACAGCAUGCCAGUGGAGACCCAAGACAAAUAAAGCAGUGAGUACGCUGAUCUUUUCCAUGUCACUAAGUCCCAUGUCCUGUUAAGCAGGUAACCUGUGUUUCACUGGUCUUUCUUUAGCUGCCCAGAUAUACUGCCUGUUUGUGAGGGAAAAGAUGUCAGAGGUUGGGUAUCAGGUACUUCAAGGCAUUGUUACUGAUGCUCAGAACAGUUUUUUCAGCUUCUUUCUUUUCCUGCCCUCUUCUCAUUGAAGCAAGUGUGAAAAGCCACCAGGCAUCAGCUCAACUCACAGCAGGGAGGCAGCAGUGCCAUUGAAGAAUGCCAUGAGGUGGAACAGAAACAAGACUUCUACAUGUGAAAUCUUCAGACAAUGCUGAUGUGGAUGUCAGCACACUUAUACCAGCUACUGGAAGCACAUUAAUUGAACCAGAAGCUGUCAUCCUGAAUGUGUGUUGAAAGAUCUGGCUGUAUCCGUUCUGAAGUAAACUCCAAACCAAACAUUUAUGGAGCACUUGUGGGCAGGAUUGACCACUUCAAACUGUGACUAAAUUCACUUUGUGUCAUCAUUUAUUUUGCUGAAAGCUCUCAUAAAGUUCCAUACAGCCAUCCUGAUUUGAGUUGCUGGGACAGUGUUCCCACAUGAGAUCAUAAACCAGAUAGCACGGUGCUGAGGUUACGCUGGAUGGCCUGAUCUGAGCCCCCUUUGAGCCUGGGAUUGAAGGAAGCUUGUAAACAUAAAAACAAAACAACAACAACAAAAAAACUUUCCCCAGAGUAAUCCCUCCACAAUUGCUACCUGGAAAAGCACGAUCUGAGAAAUUUGAGUAAGUUUUGAACAGUCAGACAUUAACUUCGAAGGCUUAUGGCUGGCUAAUAUACUUUCCUUGUAUUAGUCUUGGGAGCAUAAUAUGAUGUCUAACAAAAUUUAGUCAGUUGAGCGUAAAGCAGGUUUGAAGUUCAGAAUUAUUUCUCUGUACAUUGCAUUGGAAGGUUUUUCCUAUCUUACUGCUGAUGUUGUUAUUGCCUCACAAAGACUUCAGGUUGGAUAUUUGGAAAAACUUCUGCUCAGAAAGAGUGGUGUGGCAGUGGCACAGGCUGCCCAGGGAGGUGGUGAUGUCACCAUCCCUGGAGGUGUUCAAGAACCAUGAGGAACGUGGUUAGUGGGCAUGGAGUGAUGGCUUAGUGGUUGGGCUAUAUGAUCUUAGAGGGCUUUUCCAACAUUAGCGAUUCUAUGAUUUCACUCUUCAGGAGCACAUUCAUUCACAUUUACCCAAACUUUAAGAAAUAAAACCACUUGACCAACAAACAUUGCUCUCUGACCAACUGAAGACAUGAAGAUCUCCUGCUCACAUGAAGUCCAAUGACAGCACAGUGCUGUGAGCAGGAGAGUAAGACCUCUUGAGGGGUAUGAAUUAGAAGAUUUGCUGCUGGCAUAAGUAACUGAAUUAGGGAUGAGAUUAUACCUGUGGUAAGUCCUUUUUACUCAAAUAAUACAGUACAUACAGUACAUACAUACAGUAAAGAAGCUCUGAGUUCUGUAUGAAAUGAAGACAUGACUGCUUAUUAAAUUGAAAAUUGUGUAGAUUAAAUCCUGGGGUUGAUGUGAAACUUUUGGCAGGACAUUAGUGGGGCAGGUUAGAGGAAUUGUACAACACAGACAGUCGGUGUUUAUGCGCUCUUCCACUUAGUGUUGCUGUGAUGCAAAUGUAAAAGUUUGACCAAGACCCUCAGCAUAACUGAAAAUAUAACUGUGUAAAGUAAAAAUGCAGAUACAAAAUAGAAUGGCCAGUGGCUGUUUUCUCAGAUUGCUUUUCCUAAGGUGGUACUUUCAACAACUGUUGGUCAUCAUUCCCGUAGAGGAAUAUGUGAAUGUGUAAGAGAUAAAAAGCUGUGAUACAGUCUGCUUGCUUGCUUUGAUUUUAUAUGCUGAUGAGCCUUAAUUUGCAAGGGUGUUAAUUUGUCUUUUUUGUAUCUACUGUGUAUAAAAUUCUGGCUAUACUGAAUGCAGUGUUUGGCAGCAUGAACCUGAUAAAAGAACAGGUGUUGUCUGCUGCUAAUACCAGAUGUUUUGCUCGCUGUCACUCUCGUUCACGUUUGUUGAUGCUUUGAAAACUUAGAGAGAGAAAGCAUUAUAACAUCUUAAUAUUCAUUGAUUAUACACUAAGUAUCUACCACUGAAUUUUGCCCAUAACUUUUUCAACAGUAUGGAUGUUCUAACUUUGGGAUGAUAAGGUGAAGUGAGUCUUUAUACGGAAAGACCAGAACAUCUUUCAUUUCUGAAACUGAGUUUUCAAACAUUUGUCUCAAAGGAUCUUUACUUUUUAGGAAACUCUUAACGCUGCAUUUUGUGCCAUCUUUUUACUUCAUCUCAUGUCUUGCACUUUGGGUAUCUCAGCUCACACCAUCACUGAUUGUGAGACUCCUGAAGAGAAUUUUAAAGGAAAAAGCCCUUGUGUUUGGCAAAUAAACAUUGCUUCUGGCAAAAUA
Long non-coding RNA from Lagopus leucura (white-tailed ptarmigan), 3745 nucleotides. RefSeq lists it as uncharacterized. NCBI's taxonomy places the organism in Eukaryota, Metazoa, Chordata, Aves, Galliformes, Phasianidae. The record is from RefSeq and is a predicted model, not a curated record. The transcript has 2 exons.